Molecule: ribosomal RNA, 622 nt
Filed under: uncultured bacterium
Lineage: Bacteria
Description: bacterial SSU rRNA
Rfam family: Bacterial small subunit ribosomal RNA
Source: RNAcentral
AAAAGGAGUAAUCCGCUGAUAGAUGGGCUUACGCCUGAUUAGCUAGUUGGUGGGGUAACGGCCUACCAAGGCGACGAUCAGUAGCCGAACUGAGAGGUUGAACGGCCACAUUGGGACUGAGAUACGGCCCAGACUCCUACGGGAGGCAGCAGUCGGGAAUAUUGCGCAAUGGAGGAAACUCUGACGCAGUGACGCCGCGUAUAGGAAGAAGGUUUUCGGAUUGUAAACUAUUGUCGUGAGGGAAGAAGAUGACAGUACCUCAGGAGGAAGCUCCGGCUAACUAUGUGCCAGCAGCCGCGGUAAUACAUAGGGAGCAAGCGUUAUCCGGAAUUAUUGGGUGUAAAGGGUGCGUAGACGGGAAAUUAAGUUAGUUGUGAAAUCCCUUGGCUUAACUGAGGAACUGCAACUAAAACUGAUUUUCUUGAGUACUGGAGAGGAAAGUGGAAUUCCUAGUGUAGCGGUGAAAUGCGUAGAUAUUAGGAGGAACACCAGUGGCGAAGGCGACUUUCUGGACAGUAACUGACGUUGAGGCACGAAAGUGUGGGGAGCAAACAGGAUUAGAUACCCUGGUAGUCCACACUGUAAACGAUGGAUACUAGGUGUAGGGUGUAUUAAGCACUCU